This 5938-nucleotide long non-coding RNA is filed under the name Malus domestica (apple). RNAcentral's name for it is "long non-coding RNA (MDOM_LNC001514)". Lineage: Eukaryota; Viridiplantae; Streptophyta; Magnoliopsida; Rosales; Rosaceae. The record is from RNAcentral.
UAAUACAAUUUGAAAUCUACAGCCCUAAUACGUCAUCAACGAGCAAAAAGAUUUCUUGCAACAACACAUUUUGUUCACAACCCCAAAGCUGCGCUUCAGCAAGUAGUGCUUGCAAUUACAGGAUCGAGUAUCUGUCUAAUGAAACCUCAUCUACUGGGGUCUUAGUAGAGGAUGUUUUGCACCUAUCUACCGACGAUGCUCAACAAAAAGAUGUACCUGCACGGAUUGCCUUUGGGUGAGUUAUUUUCUUCACUGCUUUACCACUAGAAAAAUAUAGGGUAGUCAAUAAAAAUUAGUGUAUGCUGAUUAUAUUAUUCCUAAACAUGCCAAUUUUAAUUGGUUAGCGCGCUUGUGAUGUUUGUAUGCUACUCUACUGCAGUUGUGGUAAGGACCAGACUGGUAUAUUUUUGGACGGAGCAGCUCCCAAUGGUCUAUUAGGGCUUGGUAUGGAAGAUGUAUCCAUUCCUAGCAUUUUAGCAGGACAGGGCCUUGCUUUGAAUUCAUUUUCCAUGUGUUUCGGACUUGACGGAAUUGGGAGAAUCAGAUUUGGUGAUAAUGGAAGCCAAGGCCAAGCAGAAACACCGUUCAAUCAUGAUAGCCAAUCAUAGUAAGUGCUCCCCCUAAAUAUCCAUAUGCUGAUGUCAAUUUUACUAGUUUUGCAAGUUAACUUCUUCAGUCUUUAAUAUCAUCCCAGUUGUCCUAAUCUUUUCUUGUUCGAACAUGUUACCAGUCCAACUUACAACAUUACUAUCACUCAAAUAGCCAUCGGAAAAAGUGUUACCGAUCUCGAAUUCUAUGCAAUUUUUGACUCUGGUAGCUCAUUUACAUACCUAAACGAUCCAGCUUACACGCAGAUUACUGAGAGUGUGAGUACUUCAGAUUUGGUUUUUCAUAUUAUAACCUUUUGUAUCUUCUUUAUUGUAUAGUCUUUGUAACUAUUUGUCAUUUUUCAGUUCAACUCCGUGCUUAAAAAUAGUCGGCAUCCAAAGGAUUCAGAUAUUCCUUUUGAAUAUUGUUAUGACAUAAGGUAAAUUCUAUCAGAAUACUAAACCUUGUAUCAGUUCUCUUUCUGAGCCUUCAGGCACUGACUUAACUUCGUUUGCAGUCCAAAUCAAUCGGUGAACUUGACAAUGAAAGGUGGAAAGCAGUAUUCUCUCCUCGAUCCACUGGUACCCGUGUCCAAUUCGGUAAGUUACCACUUUUAGUAUUUCUUAUAUAUCCUGCUCCUACACCAUGCCAUGCUAAACCUUGCUAUUCCAAUCUCCAGGAUGAAUCCACAGGGUUCUAUUGCCUGGGCGUCGUCAAAAGUGGAGAUGUUAAUAUCAUCGGACGUGAGUAUCUCUUUCUAAAUAUCUUUCAUUAUCUUGCUGCAAAAGUUUUCAUACACUUGAUGUCUACGCAGAUCAUGUAAUAGUUGAUUUUAAAAUCAGAUUCAUAAAACCAUCGUAACAAAUGGUUAAGGCCCUCGUACGGCCUUAACCAUCACUGGCAUUCAAAUGAAUUUGUACAUGUUCAAUGUUGCUUACAAUGUGGAUCUAUUCCUGCAGAAAACUUCAUGACGGGUUAUCGCGUAAUUUUUGACCGUGAGAAGAUGGUAUUGGGUUGGAAGGAAUCCAACUGUGAGUCUUAAUUCCACCAUUGCAAAUCAAACUUCGGCAAAACAUUUUUCUCGUGAUUCUUUUUCAGUGACAAUAGCGUGACAUUUUUCUUUUCAGGUUACAACGAUGAGGAAACCGUCACUUUUCCCAUCAUCCCAUCGAAAUCUCCGACGGCCUCCCCCCGGAGCCUCAACCCGGAGGCCGCAUCAGGGAGUACCAACAAAUCUAGCAUACCGGGAUCAAAUCAUUCACCAAAAUUGAAGAACUCUUUCACGACUGCAAUCACCAUUCUUCUUUUUGUAUUUCUCGCUACUGUGUGAUUAUUUUUCGCCUUUCUGUAAUAUAUCUAAAACCGUGAGGCAUUUUGUUUUGGAGGUAGAAUUUACACGGCGAUUUUUGGUAUAUUAUUCGUAGUUAUAGCAACAUGGCUUUGUACAUAUGAUUUUUGUUAUGACUACUGACCACAGACCGCAGAUAAUAAACAUCUUUUUUUUUUUUUUGUUACAAUAAUAAAUAGUUUUUGGUUUUUGGUUUAUUCUUUGGAAUCGAGAUCCUUUUCAGAUCUUGCAGUCCAGAGCCGAUUGAAUGAGAAAUUUGAAUCACUCAUUUUAAAUCCAUGCCCUUCGUUAUUUUACCCCGCUGGUUCCCUCAUAGAAACCGAGGGUUCAGAUCUCUUGCCUUUUUUUGAACGGUUCGGAAUCGGAUUACUUAGUCCGCCAACUCCGAAACUUCCACAACAACGCAAGCUUUCCCAGUUUUCCAUCUCUCUCUCUCUCUCUCUCUCUUCCCGCAGCUGCUGACUUGACUUGGGUCUGUGAGAACGCGUCGCUUUAAAACCCGUUUCAUCACAUUUCUCUGUUUUUCACUCAUGCCUCCCAACCCAAUUCACCAAAACAUCUGUUUCUCUCUCUAGAAUCGUCUCAGCCAUGGCGGCCUGGACUUGCAGAGCUUCUUACAGUUCCUCCGCCGUGCGUCUCUUAUUGUCUGUUAUAGUAUUGGGCUGGGCUUCUCGGACCUGUUUCGGACUCGGGUCGUACGGGUUCGAUAUCCACCACCGGUUCUCGAAUCCCGUCAAGGCAAUUCUGGGUUCCGAUGAGCUGCCGGAUAAGGGUAGUGCUCAGUACUACGCUGCCAUGGCCCACCGGGACCGAUUGAUUCGGGGCCGCCAUCUCUCCACCGCAGACGAUCAAACGACGCCGCUUGCUUUCGAAUACGGAAACAUCACUUACCGGAUUAGUGCUUUUGGAUAGUAAGCACUUUUCUCCUCUCUUUUUUACCUUAAAUUUUUUUAUUUUUUUAUUUUUUAUUUUUAGCAAUGUCUUCUUAACUUUAAUUGGUUGCAAUUAGCGAUGGGUAAAUUCCCAUUAGUUAUAGGUAAUCGUUAAGAUAAAUUAACGGUUAAGCUAAUGAAAUUUAAAUCAACGGUUAUAAGUGUUACUCGCGGUUAUAAACGAGUACCCAUUAAACCAUUUAUUUUAAUAUAUGUAAAACUAAAAAAAAUAAAAAAUUAGUUUCUAACUAAAUUUAGUAUCUGAGACAUAUUUGGUUAUAAAGUGCCAUAUAUAUAUAUAUAUAUAUAUAUAUAUAUAUAUAUAUAUAAAACACGCCUCACUUGAUAGAAAAAUAUAGUUGAUAGAAUGGGUUAAUGUUUAAUAUAUGUGAUUGAAUAUGCUAAAACAUUAGAAUGUUCGACAAUUUUGUUUUGGAGUCUUUUGGAGCUUUGGCAAAUUCAAGAUAAUGAUUACCUUAAGUUUUUAAAAACAUGUUAUUGUCGACUGAUGCAUAUAUAUAUAUAUAUAUAUAUAUAUAUAUAUAUAUAUUUAAUUGACCUCAAGUUUUCAAUAAGUAUUUGACCCAAAAAUUAGAAAUCAAUUAAAUGGCUUAGAUCAAUGAACAUAUGUUUCUAAAUAAAAAUCCAAAUAUUUAUCAAAUUAGCUUAUUAGCAGACUAAUGUGUACUUAUGUAUACAAGAAUAUUAAUUAACCUACAACCAUGUAUGAUUCUUGUAAUAGAUUGACCGUCAAAUAAUUGGGAGACAUCGCAUAUAUACAUAAAUAAUAUUACCGUUAAUAUAAAAAUUCAUGUUAAAUGUAUUUAUAACAGUAUUUAAUUGUUAGAAAAAGAAAAUUAUAACAAUUUUUUUUUUAAUUUUCAAGUUGUUAAAAAAAUAGGUAGACAGGUGAAAAAAGAGAGUAAACAGGUUAAAAAUGGGUAAACGGGUAAGUGGUUAUGGUUAAAUGGGUAUGCGAUUAUGAGUAAAUGAGCAUGCGGUUAUGAGUAUGGUUAACCGUUUAUAAACGGUUAUGGGUAUGGGUAUACCCGUUUAUGUAAAUACCCAACGGGUAAACGGUUAUGCGGGUAAAAGUUUAAACGGUUAUGGGUAAAUAACCGCGGUUACUUGCCCGCCAUAACCGUUGCCCAUUCCUAGUUGCAAUAUACCUUCAAUUAAAAAUCCAUUAUUAUUAGUUCCUCAACUUAUCAAAACGUACAGCUAUGGUCUCUCAACUAAAAAUUCAUUAUCAUUGGUCCCUCAACUUUAAUACAAACGAAGAAAUGGUCCCCAAACUUUAACCUGAUUAUAGCAAUAGUCUUUCCAACGUAACUCAUUUUGACAAAAUUCUAAUGAAGUUGACGAAAAUGACCAUAGCUACAUGUUUUGAUGAGUUUGAGGGACCCCAAUUGUAGCAAUGACCCUCCCAACAUAACUUAUUUGGAGAAAAUUCUAACGAAGUUAACAAAAAAGACCAUAACUACACAUUUUGAUGAGUUGACGGACCAAUAAUAAUAAAUUUUUAGUUGAGAGACCAUUACUCCAAUUUGAUUAAAAUUGAAGGAGCAUUGCUACAAUUUACUCUGUUUUUUUUGUGUUGAAAUUGAUGGGGUUUUUUUUUAAUUGUUGAAUUUUCCAACGGUAGGCAAGUGCCUUCGCCCAUGAGCGGUAGGUCUCGGGUUCGAGACUUGGGAGCAGCCUCUCCAUAAAAUGGGGGUAAGGCUAGCCGACAUUCACCUCUCCCAGACCCUGCGUAAAGCGGGAGCCUUGUGCACUGGGUACGACCUUUGUUGAAUUUUCCAACGGUCCCGAAUUUAUUUUAUUUUUUCUGAAAAAACCCAUUAAUUUGUUUAAAUUUUUGCACAAAACCCAGAUAUUUGUUUCCUUAGAAGAAAAUUAUACAUAAAGUGUUUGAAUUUUUGCUUUUUUGGGGUUGGAAUUUCAGUCUGCAUUAUGCAAAUGUAUCUGUGGGGACGCCGAGCGCAUCAUAUCUUGUGACAUUGGACACGAGCAGCAAUAUGCUGUGGUUGCCAUGUGAUUGCAGCAGCUGCGUCCGCGGCUUCCAGACCUCGAAUGGACAUGUAUGUGAUCUGAAUUAUUAUGGAUUUUGUUUGCCUUUUCUUGAUUAUACUUAUACAAGAUUUUUGAAUGAGGUGCAUUGUUUAGUUCAAAAGUUGGUUGCUUGGAGUUUUUGACUUGUCAUCACUUGAGUUGUUCGCGGUUAUGUUGGUUUGUGAUAAUUUCCAGUAGUUUGUGAAAUUUGCUCUGGAAUAAGUACUAAAACUAUCGAUUCAAGCAUGUAAGUUGUAACUUUAUCAUCGUCUGUGUUGAGUGAAUUCAGUACUGCCGUGCGUCUUUAGGGUAGGUAAACAUCAUGAAGGAAUGCAAGUUUACUUGAAUUUUAAGUGGGCAACAAAAUAGCAUCGUUUUCUCGAAAGUCUCAUGUUGCAUCAUAAAUUUGUAGUGUUAUUCAUCAAAAUACUGAGUUGCAUCUGGUUUCUAAAACUAUCUACCAGGCAUAGUUUCAGAAGGACGGACUAAGAUUGCUAGUGCAUUUGGUCCCUAUGUGGAUCAAUUGGGAAGAUGCUCUUAGGGUACUCAUUUUGUUGACAAUUAACUCCUGAGCUCUUCUUCUAUCAACCAGGUAGUAGCAUUUAAAAUCUACAGCCCUAAUACAUCAUCAACGAGCGAACAGAUUUAUUGCAACAGCGCAUUUUGUUCACAACCCCAACGCUGCACUUCAGCAAGUAGUGCUUGCAAGUACAGGAUCAAGUAUCGGUCAAAUAAACCUCAUCUACUGGGGUCUUGGUAGAGGAUGUUUUGCACCUAUCUACCGACGAUGCUCAACAAAAAGAUGUACCUGCACGGAUUCCCUUUGGGUGAGUUAUUUUCUUCACUACUUUACCACUAGAAAAAUAUAGGGUAGUCAACAAAAAUUAGUGAGCAUGCUGAUUAUAUAUUCCCAAACAUGCCAAUUUUAAUUGGUUAGUGCGCUUGUGAUGUUUGUAUGCCUCUAUUGCAGUUGUGGUAAGGACCAGACUGGUAUAUUUUUGGAAGGUACAGCUCCCAA